Molecule: RNA transcript, 1468 nt
Organism: Salvia miltiorrhiza (redroot sage)
Lineage: Eukaryota; Viridiplantae; Streptophyta; Magnoliopsida; Lamiales; Lamiaceae
Gene name: sucrose nonfermenting 4-like protein
Exons: 8
Source: RefSeq, a predicted model, not a curated record
AUUUAUUUUAAAAGUCAAUUUUUUUCAUUUGUUUUAGUUUGUUUUCAAUUUUUUUAAAGCCAUAAUAUAUUUAAUUUAAUCUAAUUUAAAUUCUCAAACCUCUAAAAUCCAAACCCUAACUCUCUUUCUCUCGUUCAAUUCUCCCGCCCACAGGCCGCCGCCUCGCCUCCCAUCAGUCUGACGCGCCUCCGGCAGUCUCCCCCGGUCCAACGCACCACCGGUCUCCGACCGCCCCGCCUCGGUCUGACUCGAAGCCUCCGUGGCAAGCCAAAAGUAUGCUAUGCCCCGUCGCGCCUCAGUGUGCGACAGCACGGCCCAUCCUUUCCCGUCGUCCCGCCUCACCUCCUCCGGCCUCAGCGGCUCCGUUGGUCCGUCCGGCGACUCCAAAACACCAGCAGUUGCCAACACGGCGAGCCUGUAGGAACUUGGGGUUGAAUAUAACUCAUUAAGAUGCAUUUGACCGAAUGUUUUGAUGGUUUUGGAAGAAUCGACAUUCUGCCUGUAAUCUGAUGCCCAAAGGUACAAAUGGGGUUCUUUCUUGUCUAUGGUAGCUGCACUCAGUAACCCCCCCUCCCCCCCCUAUCAGGAAGAUGAAGAUCAUUGGGUUCGAUGAUGAAGUAACCUACUAUCUCUAUGAAAUGCCAGGAGCAGCUACCUCAGAUGUUUUCCAUCUCCGGUAAUAUAUAAAUUAUCAUGGCAUCCUUCAAUCUUGAUUCAAGCUAUAGCUCCAAAUGAAACUUUAAAGAAAUUGGCUUCUGUUUGCUCAAAUUUCAAGCUCCUUAGUAAAGUUCUUUUUUCCAUUUCAACUACUGUAGCAAAGUUCUUGUGUAUUUGCACCAUACUAUACUAGAUUCAUUGACCGCCAGCUAAUGUUCUUUCUUUUGCUGUAUUUAUGUCGACGCACAUGGCCUAUGAAUUGCUUCCUGAGUCUGGAAAGAUUGUUGCCUUUGACGUCGACUUACCCGUAAAGCAAGCAUUUCAUAUUCUGCAUGAGCAGGGUGUAUAUACGGCGCCCUUGUGGGACUUCUCAAAGAGCCGGUUUACCGGAGUUCUCAGUGCACUGGAUUUUAUUUUGAUUAUGAGAGAGAGCAGUUCUCGGCUUUUGGUUUUGUUGAAAUUGGACUAAUUGUUCUGCGGGUGGAGGAAAAUUUGACGAGUAUGAAGAAAAUUUAUAAUUGUAUAUUAUAAUAUACACUGUUUGCAGGAGGAUGCUACUCCAAAAAGGAAAUUGAUGAAGUAAGGAUAGAGUGGGUAGAAUUUGUAUGUAAAAUCACAGAUGAGUGAUGAUGGAUGGUGUAACUUGCUUGGUUUGCAGUUAUGUUUCAAUUAGUACGAUGAUGAUGUUUGGAUUCUAAUGUAAUGUAGGAUGAUGAUGUUUGGAUUCUAAUGUAAUGUAGGGAUGAUGAUGUUGGAUUCUAAUGUAAUGUAGGGAUAAUGAUGUUGGAUUAUAAUGUAUGAAUUUUAUUAU